AAUAAACCUGCCCACCCCUCACAACAGGGGCUAACUCUUAAGUAGAGCAGGAGAGCACCCUGAGUUUCUUUGGAGAGGUUACAAAUACUUCAUUAUUAUUAUUUAAUGCAAAUCACAAAGUUCAGAGAAUCCUUAAAGCUCCCUGCAAAUAGGCAGAGCACUGUCUGGUUCCCAUUUAUGACUGGAGGGGGGUGCCUUAUUUCAUAGUCAGCAGGGUUUAAGUUAGGAGUGUCUGACCCUGGAGCAGUAUGUCCUUUUGCUUUGAUAAAUUGACUUUUCCAUCAGAGAUGAAACCUGUGCCCUAUGCCUCAUUCUGCUAAGCACUGAUCAAGCAAGUUAAUUCAGACUUUGCCUUUCUCCCCACUAGGAACUGCCCUCAGUUUCCUGAGCAUGCCCUUGGCCCCUGGUGCAAAACAAUGUUGUGUCUAAGCUGGAAGUUCCCUUAGAUUUUACGUCAUUCGGGGAGGCAGAUAAAUGGCACAGUCCCCCACUCUGCCCUCUCUUCCCUCCGGGAUCCCUGGCAGAUCUUACUCACUGACCCUGCAUCCUCCCCACUGUGCCCAGCCAGGCUCAGAAUCCACAACAGAGCCACAACAACUGGCUGUGUCUCCCCAGUUAGUGCAUUUGACGUGUGAAUUACAAUGAUUGCCACCCCUGAUGUGGCUUGGCUCCCCUGGGGAGGGAAAGUGACUGGACCCAGGCCUCACAAGGAUGAGUGGCUGAGGCAGACUUCCGGUGGCAUUUGCGCUGUGAAUGUGCCCACAGAGAGCUCCUGAAGCAGAGACUAGUUACAGCCAACUGGCAGUCCCAGGCAGUCCCCCGCAAGUACAGCCUCCCUCCUGAAGCAGGUAUUUGGAAUCUGACCUAGGGUGGUGUCCUGUGUAUAUGGUGACAUCGGGAGAUGACAGAGGAGUCUGUUUUCCUCACCCCUUUUCCUGUGACCCCCUAUGGCUGUCACUCAUGUUCAGGAAUGAGCCCUGGAUGAAUAAUUGGGGUUCUGGGAUUCCAAUUCAGCUCUGGGCUUGUCUCCCCACUUCCCUGAGAUAUGUUCCCCUUACCUGUAAAAUGGGGCUAGACCUCCACCCUGUUGUCCUGCCUCAUGGGUGUUACUGUGCAGUCCCCUCUAAACAUGGGGGAUUAUCUCACAGGAAGGUAAAACUUUAACAGUUUCCACCAUCCUGCAGAACAGAGUCCAUCCCACUGUUCCUCCGUCUCUAGGGAUUUUUGUGGAGAAGAUGAGCAGGUGGGGCUCUGGGUCUCUCUGUCCCAGGUCACCCUGCUUUUGUCUGCUUCACAUUGGGCCUCCAUGUCAGAUGCCCGAAACAGAAUGGGAGUAUAGCUCGCUGUGCACCCCAGCAGCCCUGGGAGUUCCCCAGAAGAGGGCCUGAGCAGUGACUGGCUUAGCAAGGGACGGCUGAUCCUCUCUUUUCCUGGCUUCCAAACAGAUAUGGGACCUGGCAUUCCUGCUCAGCGAUGGGAGUUCCUGUGGAGACCCUCACUAAACCCUGCUCCUCCCUAGCUUCCCUGCAAUAAAAUCAAGCUGCUUUCGUUGGAGAUGCUGUCUCAUGCAUGGUCUUGAUGUUGCCCACUUGCAGACCUUGAUGUUUGCCAUGUUCACUUGUAUUGGAGUUUCAAGAGCGCCAGUCACAGGCUUGGACCCUGGUUCCAUAUCUGACAAUUUGCUAUGAAGUCUUUGGCAAGUCGCUUCCCUUCUCUGAGCUUCAUUUUCUCGCAUCUGUAAAGUGAAGAAGUUGGGCCAGAUCACUUUCUUGUCACUCCUUUCUUAAACUCCAUAUUUUAAAAAACUUUUGUUUAUCAAGUGAAUUGCAUUUAAGGGAUGCCUAAUGUUAAUCAGGGCAGUUAGAUUAGUAGGAAAGAGUACAGGCUAUAAAGAAAAACUGCCUGGGUUGGAGUCCCAGCUCUAGCACCUCCCAGGUAGGUCACCUUUGAUAGGCCUCUUAACUUCUCAGCAUCUACAUGCACAAAAUGCGAUAAUAAUGUCUACUGCAAAUGGUGGUUGUGGGGAUUAAAUGAGAUGAUACAUGUAAAUCACUUAGAGUAGUGCUUGUCAGGUAGAAAUCACUCAGGAAACAUUACCCAUUUGCUCGUUUUUCAGUAUUUCAUUACUCAAAGAUCUGUAGAAAUGACAACUAGAAUUCCAGUCAGACUUAAGAAUUAGUGCCUCACAGAGCUGUUCAAUUAUGUCAAAACAAAGGGAAUGUUUUAGUCUGCCUGUGUAACUUUAUUUAAAAAUUUAAAAAAGUAUUAAAAUGGCAGUUCUCAAACUUUUUAGACUUAGGACCCUUUAACAUUCUUAAAAAUUAUUGAGGAUCUUGAAAAGCUUUUGGUUAUAUCCAUCAAUACAUACUGUAUUAGAAAUUAAAGUAGGAAUUUUUAAAAUGCAAGAAUGCACAGCACACAUCCCAUUAGCCACCAAAGAGAUGAGAUUAUCACACAUCAUGCAGACUUGAAAACUCCACUGUACGCUUGUGAGAGAAAGAAAGUAAAAAAGGCAAAUAAUGUCCUAUGGAAAUAACUUCUUUAACUCAUGGACCUUCUGAAAGGUCAGGGGCCCAUGUGUUGAGAAUCACUGCUUUAUCCAUUUACUGGGCACUAACUAGGAGUGCAUCAUUGCUGGAUGCCGAGAUAAGACCUGGCCCUGUAUUUGGUCACCCAUGACCUUGGACCAGUCCCCUAAUCUCUUCCAGAAGCAGUUUCCUCAUCUGUACAAUGGGUGUCUUAAGACCUGCACCUCAGGGUAGUGAAGACCUAGAACUUGGCAGACAGAAAUAAGAUGUCAUUUUUACUCUUAACUGGUGUGCUUGCAUGAUUUCAGUCCUGUUGUUAAAGUAUUAAACAAGU
Molecule: long non-coding RNA, 2862 nt
Organism: Choloepus didactylus (southern two-toed sloth)
Lineage: Eukaryota; Metazoa; Chordata; Mammalia; Pilosa; Megalonychidae
Exons: 3
Source: RefSeq, a predicted model, not a curated record